This 299-nucleotide long non-coding RNA is filed under the name Lathyrus oleraceus (garden pea). Its description in RNAcentral is "Pisum sativum (pea) long non-coding RNA (PSAT_LNC036692)". Lineage: Eukaryota; Viridiplantae; Streptophyta; Magnoliopsida; Fabales; Fabaceae. The record is from RNAcentral.
AUUUUCAGCUUUUACAUAUUAUUCAUUUUGUUAGUACAAUGUUGCUACAAUAUUGUUAUUUGUGUUUGUGUGAGGUUUGGAUCCGAAGCUUCUCACGUGGGAUUGUGAAAUCAACGAGAACCGCUCGUGCAAGCAAAAUAUGGAAAUUCCACCACACUAGACAUGAGGGAUUACUGUAGAAGAACCGAUACUAGUCAGAUAUCACGGGGAUUUCCAACUGGCGAAUCCUGUGACAUUCGACAUUAAAAGCUCAAUACUGUCAUGAUUAAGAGACAAACAGUUUGAUGGUCAUACCAUCA